GACAGAGGGUGCGAACGUUGUUCGGAAUUACUGGGCGUAAAGCGCAUGUAGGCGGCAGCGCAAGUCGGGCGUGAAAUCCCACGGCUCAACCGUGGAAGUGCACUCGAAACUGCGCAGCUAGAGUCCUGGAGAGGAAGGUGGGAUGCUUGGUGUAGAGGUGAAAUUCGUAGAUAUCAAGCGGAACACCGGUGGCGAAGGCGGCAUCCUGGACCGGCAUUGACGCUGAGGCGCGAAAGCGUGGGGAGCAAACAGG
Molecule: ribosomal RNA, 253 nt
Filed under: uncultured bacterium
Lineage: Bacteria
Description: partial 16S ribosomal RNA
Rfam family: Bacterial small subunit ribosomal RNA
Source: RNAcentral